Molecule: unclassified non-coding RNA, 354 nt
Filed under: soil metagenome
Description: partial contains 5.8S ribosomal RNA, internal transcribed spacer 2, and large subunit ribosomal RNA
Rfam family: 5.8S ribosomal RNA (bases 1-120)
Source: RNAcentral
GAUGAAGAACGUAGCGAAAUGCGAUAAGUAGUGUGAAUUGCAGAAUUCUGUGAAUCAUCGAAUCUUUGAACGCACAUUGCGCCUCCUGGUAUUCCGGGAGGCAUGCCUGUUCGAGCGUCAUUAAAAUCACUCAAGCUUAGGUUUACCUAUUGCUUGGUCUUGGAGAUGGAAGCCAAUUUAUUGGAAUCCUCUUCGAAAUUCAAUGGCGAAGACCCUUGCUCUCCCAAGUGUAGUAAUAACUUAUGUCACUGAAGGAAGCGAGAAAUCUUCUGCCGUAACCCCCAUAUUUUCUAUGAUUGACCUCGGAUCAGGUAGGGAUACCCGCUGAACUUAAGCAUAUCAAUAAGCGGAGGA